Molecule: long non-coding RNA, 1117 nt
Organism: Sinocyclocheilus grahami
Lineage: Eukaryota; Metazoa; Chordata; Actinopteri; Cypriniformes; Cyprinidae
Exons: 2
Source: RefSeq, a predicted model, not a curated record
GCAGGUGUCGCCAUUUUUACUAGCGUUGUCUGGGAAUAGCCGUGAGCUGCGGUUUGGAGACCAGUUGAUUUGGUGAACAUUGACGGUUCCCGCAUCCCUCACAGUAGGGCGCAGGUCGCUUUACGUGGGUGAACGGGCCUCGCUUAGCAAAACAUUCAGUGCCAGAGAUGUCGCACUUUUUGCUGAGCUGACGGGGGACACGAAUCCUCUCCACCUCGACCCCGAAUACACCAAAACAACCUCUUUCGAGACCCCCAUUGUUCACGGAGUGCUGAUUAAUGGUCUGAUCUCAGCAAUUCUGGGGACAAAGUUGCCCGGCAAAGGCUGCGUGUUUCUCUACCAGGAAAUACGCUUUCCGGCGCCCCUCUACAUCGGAGAGGAGGUUGUGGCAGAAGCGGAGGUCAAAAAGAUCAAAAUGUCCUUUGCUUUUAUUUCUGUUUCCUGCGCUGCCAAAGACAAAGUGGUCAUGGAGGGAGAGGUCAUGGUCAUGAUGCCGCAAGACGCACAACACUCAUGAGAAACCUGAGUGAAUGCUGCCGUUCAGUUUUUUAUGUGCUGACAGGAAUGAAAUGUUCUUUCUUGCUUAUUAUUGUUCUUUUGAAAUGUAACACUCACUCAGAGAUUUAAUAUUUCUUGUUUUUUGUUCUCUGAGAAGUUGUUUGAAUAAAAAAUAGUGUGAGAAAAUAAACCACCCUUUGGCUUAGUUCUUUGGUGUGGGCAAUAACUAGCUGUGUCCAACCUCAACAAAGACAUCAUUUUAUGUUACUUAAAACAGUAAUUCAAAAUUGUAAGGUUAACAUAAUAGUGGUAAAAUUACAUUAGAUUAACCAGCAAACUUCUUCCAGUAUAGCUUUCUCCACAAGAUCUUUAACCGAGAUCAAAUAACCUUUGUCCUCAGUCCUUACAUUUUUCGCUUGCUUUCUCUUUUGAUUAGUUGAAGAAAUAUAUGUGUGUAGAUUUACAUGUAGUAUUUACAUAAUGCUUGUCGAUUAACUGUAUUACACUAAACUAUAUUAAUUACUGAACUAUAUAUUAUACUUUUUCCUUUGUUUUAAUAUUUGGCUUUGCUUUAUGUUUGCACAUUAUGUGUAAAUAAAUACAUGCAUUUCUGAUGUUC